UACUAUUUAUCAGUAGCUAUGUGCCAGGUGUUUAUAUAUAUUAUCGUAGAUUCUCACAACUACCUUGGAAGGCAGUUGCUGGUAUCUUCUGAAACUGAGCCUCAGGAAUCGGGUAACCUGCCCAGCUGGAGUAGGAUGGAAUAUACAGGGGUUGGGCUACCUGGAAGCAUCUCCUCCUGGUUUCAGUCAAAUUCAGAAUUGUCUUGAUUUUGAAGCCCUGGGAGCCUAGCAAGCACCAGAACCAUGGAGAAGAGGCUGUCCAGCAGAAGCUGUACUAUAAAGAGAUAUAGUUACUGUGCUGAAGCAGAGAAUGGGAAAAAAAUGUCAACUUCCCUCUCCUCUGCCCUCCCCUAUACUGGCAAUGCUUCCCAUUAGCUAGACUCAACAAGAAGCUAGUCAGUUAGAGAGCCCAAAACAUGCAAUUUGCAGGGUCAGAGCAGGGAAAAGAAUGGAUUGAGGGAGUGCGGAUGGGGAGCAGAUAAGGAACCUAUUGUUUUAUUACCAAUAUAGUUCAUCAAUUAAAUAUUUGAGAUUUUAUAAAACAUAAAUAGGAAUGUUUAAUGUUGGAUAUCAUUAGGUAUAAUUGUCUUGAUUAAAUGCAAAGAACUAUUAAUAAUCCCCAUUCUCAUGUGUAUUUUUUUGAGGGGAACAAAACCAAGCAGCAAAUAAUUCUAAGGAUAAUCAAAACCAUCAUGUCAAUUCAGACAAGC
Molecule: long non-coding RNA, 710 nt
Organism: Lemur catta (Ring-tailed lemur)
Lineage: Eukaryota; Metazoa; Chordata; Mammalia; Primates; Lemuridae
Exons: 3
Source: RefSeq, a predicted model, not a curated record